RNAcentral lists this small RNA (445 nucleotides) under Pongo abelii (Sumatran orangutan). Its description in RNAcentral is "processed transcript". The record is from RNAcentral. Lineage: Eukaryota; Metazoa; Chordata; Mammalia; Primates; Hominidae.
CAGAUGAGGUGGUGUGGCCAGGAGUUACUUCUAUGCCUGAUUACAAGCCAAGUUUCCCCAAGUGGGCCCGGCAAGAUUUUAGUAAAGUUGUACCUCCCCUGGAUGAAGAUGGACGGAGCUUGUUAUCGCAAAUGCUGCACUACGACCCUAACAAGCGGAUUUCGGCCAAGGCAGCCCUGGCUCACCCUUUCUUCCAGGAUGUGACCAAGCCAGUACCCCAUCUUCGACUCUGAUAGCCUUCUUGAAGUCCCCAGCCCUAAUCUCACCCUCUCCUCCAGUGUGGGCUUGACCUGGCUUGGCCUUGGGCUAUUUGGACUCAGGUGGGCCCUCUGAUCUUGCCUUAAACACUCACCUUCUAGUCUUGGCCAGCCAACUCUGGGAAUACGGGGGUGAAAGGGAGGAACCAGUGAAAAUGAAAGGAAGUUUCAGUAUUAGAUGCACUUAA